Molecule: ribosomal RNA, 546 nt
Filed under: uncultured bacterium
Lineage: Bacteria
Description: partial 16S ribosomal RNA
Rfam family: Bacterial small subunit ribosomal RNA
Source: RNAcentral
UGGGGAAUUUUGGACAAUGGGGGCAACCCUGAUCCAGCAAUGCCGCGUGUGUGAAGAAGGCCUUCGGGUUGUAAAGCACUUUUGUCCGGAAAGAAAACGCCGUGGUUAAUACCCGUGGCGGAUGACGGUACCGGAAGAAUAAGCACCGGCUAACUACGUGCCAGCAGCCGCGGUAAUACGUAGGGUGCAAGCGUUAAUCGGAAUUACUGGGCGUAAAGCGUGCGCAGGCGGUCCGCUAAGACAGAUGUGAAAUCCCCGGGCUUAACCUGGGAACUGCAUUUGUGACUGGCGGGCUAGAGUAUGGCAGAGGGGGGUAGAAUUCCACGUGUAGCAGUGAAAUGCGUAGAGAUGUGGAGGAAUACCGAUGGCGAAGGCAGCCCCCUGGGCCAAUACUGACGCUCAUGCACGAAAGCGUGGGGGAGCAAACAGGAUUAGAUACCCUGGUAGUCCACGCCCUAAACGAUGUCAACUAGUUGUCGGGUCUUCAUUGACUUGGUAACGUAGCUAACGCGUGAAGUUGACCGCCUGGGGAGUACGGUCGCAAGA